CACGAAGUUAGCCGGGGCUUCUUCUACAGGUACCGUCAUCAUCGUCCCUGUCGAAAGGGCUUUACAAUCCGAAGACCUUCUUCACCCACGCGGAAUUGCUGGAUCAGGCUUCCGCCCAUUGUCCAAUAUUCCCCACUGCUGCCUCCCGUAGGAGUCUGGGCCGUGUCUCAGUCCCAGUGUGGCUGAUCGUCCUCUCAGACCAGCUACCGAUCGACGCCUUGGUAAGCCUUUACCCCACCAACUAGCUAAUCGGACGCAGGCCGCUCUCAAGGCACCCGAAGGCUUUGGGCCUCAGCCCAUAUGCGGUAUUAGCGCCAGUUUCCCAGCGUUAUCCCCCACCCAAGACACGUUCCUACGCGUUACUCACCCGUCCGCCACUCGAGCCGAAGCCCCCGUGCGACUUGCAUGUGUUAAGCAUUCCGCCAGCGUUCGCUCUGAGCCAGGAUCAAAACUCU
RNAcentral lists this ribosomal RNA (455 nucleotides) under uncultured Belnapia sp. RNAcentral describes it as "partial 16S ribosomal RNA". The record is from RNAcentral. Lineage: Bacteria; Pseudomonadati; Pseudomonadota; Alphaproteobacteria; Acetobacterales; Roseomonadaceae.